This 467-nucleotide ribosomal RNA is filed under the name uncultured bacterium. RNAcentral's name for it is "partial 16S ribosomal RNA". It matches the Rfam family "Bacterial small subunit ribosomal RNA", at positions 28 to 506 of the family's 1533-position model. The record is from RNAcentral.
GACGAACGCUGGCGGCGUGCUUAACACAUGCAAGUCGAACGGAAAGGCCCUGCUUUUGUGGGGUGCUCGAGUGGCGAACGGGUGAGUAACACGUGAGUAACCUGCCCUUGACUUUGGGAUAACUUCAGGAAACUGGGGCUAAUACCGGAUAGGAGCUCCUGCUGCAUGGUGGGGGUUGGAAAGUUUCGGCGGUUGGGGAUGGACUCGCGGCUUAUCAGCUUGUUGGUGGGGUAGUGGCUUACCAAGGCUUUGACGGGUAGCCGGCCUGAGAGGGUGACCGGCCACAUGGGGCAUGGGGUACGGCCCAGACCCCUACGGGGGGGAGGAGGGGGGAAUAUUGCACAAUGGGCGGAAGCCUGAUGGAGAACCGCCGGGGGGGGGAGGACGGCCUUGGGGGUGUAAACCGCUUUCGCCUGUGACGAAGCGUGAGUGACGGUAAUGGGUAAAGAAGCACCGGCAAACUACGU